UGCGGGGUCAUAUAGUCCGGUAGUAUGCGACACUCUGAAUGUCGUCACCUAGGUUCGAAUCCUAGCCCCGCAG
This is a non-coding RNA of Candidatus Roizmanbacteria bacterium, 73 nucleotides long. The record is from Rfam. Lineage: Bacteria; Candidatus Roizmaniibacteriota.